This 410-nucleotide ribosomal RNA is filed under the name Naididae sp. N3. RNAcentral describes it as "partial small subunit ribosomal RNA". The record is from RNAcentral. Lineage: Eukaryota; Metazoa; Annelida; Clitellata; Tubificida; Naididae.
UAGAUACCCUAUUAUUCAUGUUAAAAAUAAGGCCGGACAGUAAAAACAAUCGUUUAAAAUCUAAAGAUCUUGGCGGUGCUUCAUCUAAUCAGGGGAACCUGUUCCUUAAUUCGAUACUCCACGAACAUCAUACCGCCUCUGGAAAUACACAGCCUGUGUACUGCCGUCCAAAGCACACCCCUAAGGGGUGUACAACAGCGAUAGGAUAUCCUACCAACCAUGUCAGGUCAAAGUACAGCCUAUGGGGCGGGGGAAAUGGGUUACAUCCAAAAAAUAGACGCCAAAUCAGACUAAAUAAAUUUGAAAUAAAGAAGGACUUGACAGUAAUGAUAGAAUAAAAUUCAGUCAUGAACAAAGUUAGAAGCACGCACAUAUCGCCCGUCGCUCCUCUCUAAAAAAGUGGAUAAGUC